Molecule: ribosomal RNA, 348 nt
Filed under: uncultured fungus
Lineage: Eukaryota; Fungi
Description: SSU rRNA
Rfam family: Eukaryotic small subunit ribosomal RNA
Source: RNAcentral
UUUCGUCAUGCUUGUCUCAAAGAUUAAGCCAUGCAUGUCUAAGUAUAAACAACUUUAUACUGUGAAACUGCGAAUGGCUCAUUAAAUCAGUUAUAGUUUAUUUGAUAGUACUUACUACUUGGAUAACCGUGGUAAUUCUAGAGCUAAUACAUGCGAAAAGACCCGACUUCUGGAAGGGUUGUAUUUAUUAGAUAAAAAACCAAUCGGGGCAACCCGUUUGUGGUGAUUCAUAAUAACUUUGCGAAUCGCAUGGCCUUGUGCCGGCGAUGAAUCAUUCAAAUUUCUGCCCUAUCAACUUUCGAUGGUAAGGUAUUGGCUUACCAUGGUUGCAACGGGUAACGGGGAAUA